CGAGCACCGCCGCCUACCCGCGGGCCCGGCAGAUUAAACGCGGAUUGCCGGCACAGCGUGCUGCUGGAAGGGUUCUGCUCCAGCGUUCGAGCUGAUUAUACUUGGAAGGACUGAUAAAUGGCGAGAUGCCCACCAUGGUAAAACAACCUGUGCUGCUUCUGAGUUUGGACAAUUUACAUCCGUAUUACUAGUUCUGGUCCUGCAAGUAUGAGAGAAGAAACACACAGACCCCCUUCCAGCACUUUUCAGUAAACCACUGCAAUCUUAAUUUGUAGCAUCAUGGUUUUGCCUGCCUUUUCAGAUUGUUAAGAGGUCAGUUUUCCAGAUUUUCUAUACAUUUCGAUAUUUUCCAUCCACAAGGGAUGAAGUCAUCCUCACACCUCUUUCAGAUGUGCUGCAUUAGCGUAUCCAGCUUCCUUCGUAAAGUCUGUCACGCCGCACAGCAGCUGAUAAAAUUGCUUUACGUUGUCCUCUGCCUAUAAACACGUCUAAUCCCGUGUGUGUGAAUAUAUUAUUUCUGUCUCCUAAUCUGUAUUCCCCUGCACCACACGCAGAGUAUUCCAAGUAUACCACGUGAAAACAAGAUUAAGCUUUCAAACUAGAAACGUAGCAAACACACAGUAGGAAAGCCUGCACGACUACUUUAAGAUUAGUAUGCAAAGAGACAACUGUGUCUGCACCUUCCCUCUAUCUCUCAAACAUACAAAGUUUAAAAAGCCAGGAUUUCAGUUUGUAUUAAAAGUCAGCAUUUAUCUGCUCUAAAAAGAUUUGAGUCAAGAGACAAGUGUUAACGUUUUUCAAGAAGCAAAUAAAUUCCAAUCCCACAAAUACUGAGAAACGACUAAGAGAAAGGACUAGUUUUAGUUUUCAAAUAGACGUUCAGUAUCUGCUUAUUUUCAAAGUUCAUUGAAGAUUCAAGACCCUCUCCCCCCCACGCAUCACUAGACAUCCAAAUUAGUUCUUGAGUUUAAAAAGGAAGCAGUAUAAGGCUCAACAUCUAUUUGUUUUU
Long non-coding RNA from Pogoniulus pusillus (Red-fronted tinkerbird), 1009 nucleotides. RefSeq lists it as uncharacterized. The record is from RefSeq and is a predicted model, not a curated record. Lineage: Eukaryota; Metazoa; Chordata; Aves; Piciformes; Lybiidae. The transcript is spliced from 2 exons.